RNAcentral lists this ribosomal RNA (307 nucleotides) under uncultured eukaryote. RNAcentral's name for it is "partial 18S ribosomal RNA". It matches the Rfam family "Eukaryotic small subunit ribosomal RNA", at positions 1470 to 1796 of the family's 1831-position model. The record is from RNAcentral.
CCCUUAGACGUUCUGGGCCGCACGCGCGCUACACUGACGAAGGCAACGAGCUUUCCUUUACCGAAAGGUACGGGUAAUCUUUUGAAACUUCGUCGUGCUGGGGAUAGAUCCUUGCAAUUUUUGAUCUUAAACUAGGAAUGCCUAGUAAGCGCAAGUCAUCAACUUGCGUUGAUUACGUCCCUGCCCUUUGUACACACCGCCCGUCGCUACUACCGAUUGAAUGGUUUAGUGAGGCCUUCGGAUCCGCGACUCGUUUGUGGAGAAGUUGGACAAACUCAGUCAUUUAGAGGAAGUAAAAGUCGUAACA